CAUAUCAAUAAGCGGAGGAAAAGAAACCAACAGGGAUUGCCCUAGUAACGGCGAGUGAAGCGGCAACAGCUCAAAUUUGAAAUCUGGCUCUUUUAGGGUCCGAGUUGUAAUUUGCAGAGGGCGCUUUGGCGUUGGCAGCGGUCCAAGUUCUUUGGAACAGGACGUCACAGAGGGUGAGAAUCCCGUACGUGGUCGCUAGCCUUCGCCGUGUAAAGCCCCUUCGACGAGUCGAGUUGUUUGGGAAUGCAGCUCUAAAUGGGAGGUAAAUUUCUUCUAAAGCUAAAUACUGGCCAGAGACCGAUAGCGCACAAGUAGAGUGAUCGAAAGAUGAAAAGCACUUUGGAAAGAGAGUCAAAUAGCACGUGAAAUUGUUGAAAGGGAAGCGCUUGCAGCCAGACUUGCCUGUAGUUGCUUAUCUAGACUUUUGUCUAGUGCACUCUUCUGCGGGCAGGCCAGCAUCAGUUUAGGCGGUUGGAUAAAGGUCUCUAUCACGUACCUCCCUUCGGGGUUGGCCUUAUAGGGGAGACGACAUGCAACCAGCCUGAACUGAGGUCCGCGCAUCUGCUAGGAUGCUGGCGUAAUGGCUGUAAGCGGCCCGUCUUGAAACACGGACCAAGGAGUCUAACAUCUAUGCGAGUGUUUGGGUGUCAAGCCCAGACGCGUAAUGAAAGUGAACGGAGGUGGGAACCUUUUAGGUGCACCAUCGACCGAUCCUGAUGUCUUCGGAUGGAUUUGAGUAAGAGCAUGGCUGUUGGGACCCGAAAGAUGGUGAACUAUGCUUGAAUAGGGUGAAGCCAGAGGAAACUCUGGUGGAGGCUCGCAGCGGUUCUGACGUGCAAAUCGAUCGUCAAAUUUGGGCAUAGGGGCGAAAGACUAAUCGAAC
Molecule: ribosomal RNA, 883 nt
Filed under: Dactylidina shoemakeri
Lineage: Eukaryota; Fungi; Ascomycota; Dothideomycetes; Pleosporales; Phaeosphaeriaceae
Description: eukaryotic LSU rRNA
Rfam family: Eukaryotic large subunit ribosomal RNA
Source: RNAcentral